GACGAACGUUGGCGGCGUGCUUAAUACAUGCAAGUCAACUGAAGCAGUGGUAGCAAUAUCGCUGUGGAGGUGGCGCACGGGUGAGUAACACGUAGGUAAUCUGCCUUCAGGUCUGGCAUAACUCCGGGAAACCGGGGCUAAUAGCAGAUGAUGCAGCGGCCCGACAUCGAGACAGUUGUUAAAGCUAUGGCGCCUGAAGAUGAGCCUGCGUCUGAUUAGCUAGUUGGCGGGGUAACGGCCCACCAAGGCAACGAUCAGUAGCUGGUCUGAGAGGAUGAUCAGCCACACUGGAACUGAGACACGGUCCAGACUCCUACGGGAGGCAGCAGUAAGGAAUAUUGCUCAAUGGGAGAAAUCCUGAAGCAGCAACGCCGCGUGAGGGACGAAGGGCUUUUGCUUGUAAACCUCUGUAGUGAGAGAAAAAAAUCCCAAUCUUUGGGACAUGAUGGUAUCUCAAAAGUAAGCCCCGGCUAACUACGUG
Molecule: ribosomal RNA, 481 nt
Filed under: uncultured bacterium
Lineage: Bacteria
Description: partial 16S ribosomal RNA
Rfam family: Bacterial small subunit ribosomal RNA
Source: RNAcentral